ACCUGGCUGGAUCAGCUGGUAGAGCAUGGGACUUUUGAUCUUAGGGUUGUGAGUUCAAGCCCCACGUUGAGUA
This 73-nucleotide transfer RNA is filed under the name Felis catus (domestic cat). It matches the Rfam family "tRNA". From Rfam's summary of the family: Transfer RNA (tRNA) molecules are approximately 80 nucleotides in length. Lineage: Eukaryota; Metazoa; Chordata; Mammalia; Carnivora; Felidae. The record is from Rfam by way of RNAcentral.